CGGAGAGUUUGAUCCUGGCUCAGAUUGAACGCUGGCGGCAUGCCUUACACAUGCAAGUCGAACGGCAGCACGGGAGCUUGCUCCUGGUGGCGAGUGGCGAACGGGUGAGUAAUAUAUCGGAACGUGCCCUAGAGUGGGGGAUAACUAGUCGAAAGAUUAGCUAAUACCGCAUACGAUCUACGGAUGAAAGUGGGGGAUCGCAAGACCUCAUGCUCGUGGAGCGGCCGAUAUCUGACUAGCUAGUUGGUGAGGUAAAGGCUCACCAAGGCAUCGAUCAGUAGCUGGUCUGAGAGGACGACCAGACACACUGGGACUGAGACACGGCCCAGACUCCUACGGGAGGCAGCAGUGGGGAAUUUUGGACAAUGGGGGCAACCCUGAUCCAGCAAUGCCGCGUGAGUGAAGAAGGCCUUCGGGUUGUAAAGCUCUUUUGUCAGGGAAGAAACGGUGAGGGCUAAUAUCCUUUGCUAAUGACGGUACCUGAAGAAUAAGCACCGGCUAACUACGUGCCAGCAGCCGCGGUAAUACGUAGGGUGCAAGCGUUAAUCGGAAUUACUGGGCGUAAAGCGUGCGCAGGCGGUUAUACAAGACAGAUGUGAAAUCCCCGGGCUCAACCUGGGAAUUGCAUUUGUGACUGUAUGGCU
RNAcentral lists this ribosomal RNA (644 nucleotides) under uncultured bacterium. Its description in RNAcentral is "bacterial SSU rRNA". It matches the Rfam family "Bacterial small subunit ribosomal RNA", at positions 1 to 642 of the family's 1533-position model. The record is from RNAcentral.